This 237-nucleotide ribosomal RNA is filed under the name uncultured bacterium. RNAcentral's name for it is "partial 16S ribosomal RNA". It matches the Rfam family "Bacterial small subunit ribosomal RNA", at positions 100 to 334 of the family's 1533-position model. The record is from RNAcentral.
UGGGCGGGACGGGUGGAAGUAAUGUCUAGGGAACUCGCCGAGUGGGGGGGGAUAACUAGAGGAACGGACUAAUACCGCAUAACGUCGCAAGACCAAAGAGGGGGACCUUAGGGCCUCUUGCCAUCGGAUGUGCCCAGAUGGGAUUAGCUAGUAGGUGGGGUAACGGCUCACCUAGGCGACGAUCCCUAGCUGGUCUGAGAGGAUGACCAGCCACACUGGAACUGAGACACGGUCCAG